AGCCCCGUGGGGUAGACCCAAGCGGGCCCAACGGUCAAUCCUGCGAGGCUCUGGACCUCGCGACCCCGGUUCGAAUCCGGGCGGGGCUACCA
This 92-nucleotide transfer RNA is filed under the name Hadesarchaea archaeon. RNAcentral describes it as "tRNA-Gln". Lineage: Archaea; Methanobacteriati; Hadarchaeota (SeqCode); Hadarchaeia (SeqCode). The record is from RNAcentral.